GCAUCGAUGGUGUAAUGGUAGCACGAAUGCCUUCCAAGCAUUAGACCCGGGUUCGAUUCCCGGUCGAUGCA
Molecule: non-coding RNA, 71 nt
Organism: Talaromyces islandicus
Lineage: Eukaryota; Fungi; Ascomycota; Eurotiomycetes; Eurotiales; Trichocomaceae
Source: the annotation of a GenBank genome assembly